RNAcentral lists this ribosomal RNA (468 nucleotides) under uncultured bacterium. RNAcentral describes it as "bacterial SSU rRNA". It matches the Rfam family "Bacterial small subunit ribosomal RNA", at positions 330 to 794 of the family's 1533-position model. The record is from RNAcentral.
UCCAGACUCCUACGGGAGGCAGCAGUGAGGAAUAUUGGUCAAUGGGCGCGAGCCUGAACCAGCCAAGUCGCGUGAGGGAUGACGGCCCUACGGGUUGUAAACCUCUUUUGCCGGGGAGCAACGGGCGCCACGUGUGGCGCCACUGAGAGUACCCGGAGAAAAAGCAUCGGCUAACUACGUGCCAGCAGCCGCGGUAAUACGUAGGUGGCAAGCGUUGUCCGGAUUUACUGGGUGUAAAGGGCGUGUAGCCGGGCUUACAAGUCAGAUGUGAAAUCCGGGGGCUCAACCCCCGAACUGCAUUUGAAACUGUAGGUCUUGAGUAUCGGAGAGGCAGGCGGAAUUCCUAGUGUAGCGGUGAAAUGCGUAGAUAUUAGGAGGAACACCAGUGGCGAAGGCGGCCUGCUGGACGACAACUGACGGUGAGGCGCGAAAGCGUGGGGAGCAAACAGGAUUAGAUACCCUUGUACC